RNAcentral lists this ribosomal RNA (600 nucleotides) under Pichia fermentans. RNAcentral's name for it is "eukaryotic LSU rRNA". It matches the Rfam family "Eukaryotic large subunit ribosomal RNA", at positions 39 to 669 of the family's 3401-position model. Lineage: Eukaryota; Fungi; Ascomycota; Pichiomycetes; Pichiales; Pichiaceae. The record is from RNAcentral.
CAUAUCAAUAAGCGGAGGAAAAGAAACCAACAGGGAUUGCCCCAGUAGCGGCGAGUGAAGCGGCAAAAGCUCAGAUUUGGAAUCGCUUCGGCGAGUUGUGAAUUGCAGGUUGGCGCCUCUGCGGCGGCGGCGGUCCAAGUCCCUUGGAACAGGGCGCCAUUGAGGGUGAGAGCCCCGUGGGACCGUUUGCCUACGCUCUGAGGCCCUUCUGACGAGUCGAGUUGUUUGGGAAUGCAGCUCUAAGCGGGUGGUAAAUUCCAUCUAAGGCUAAAUACUGGCGAGAGACCGAUAGCGAACAAGUACUGUGAAGGAAAGAUGAAAAGCACUUUGAAAAGAGAGUGAAACAGCACGUGAAAUUGUUGAAAGGGAAGGGUAUUGCGCCCGACAUGGAGCGUGCGCACCGCUGCCCCUCGUGGGCGGCGCUCUGGGCGUGCUCUGGGCCAGCAUCGGUUUUUGCCGCGGGAGAAGGGCGGCGGGCAUGUAGCUCUUCGGAGUGUUAUAGCCUGCCGCCGGCGCCGCGAGCGGGGACCGAGGACUGCGACUUUUGUCUCGGAUGCUGGCACAACGGCGCAACACCGCCCGUCUUGAAACACGGACCAC